UACAGAGGGGGCUAGCGUUGUUCGGAAUUACUGGGCGUAAAGGGCGCGUAGGUGGCCUGUUAAGUCGAACGUGAAAUCCCCGGGCUCAACCCGGGAACUGCGUCCGAGACUGGCAGGCUCGAAUCCGGGAGAGGGAUGUGGAAUUCCAGGUGUAGCGGUGAAAUGCGUAGAUAUCGUAAGGAAGACCAGUGGCGAAGGCGAGUCUCUGGACAGUUACUGACGCUGAGGCACGAAGGCCAGGGGAGCAAACGGG
RNAcentral lists this ribosomal RNA (253 nucleotides) under uncultured bacterium. Its description in RNAcentral is "partial 16S ribosomal RNA". It matches the Rfam family "Bacterial small subunit ribosomal RNA", at positions 524 to 776 of the family's 1533-position model. The record is from RNAcentral.